AUUGAACGCUGGCGGCAGGCCUAACACAUGCAAGUCGGACGGUAACAGGAAGAAGCUUGCUUCUUUGCUGACGAGUGGCGGACGGGUGAGUAAUGUCUGGGAAACUGCCUGAUGGAGGGGGAUAACUACUGGAAACGGUAGCUAAUACCGCAUAACGUCGCAAGACCAAAGAGGGGGACCUUCGGGCCUCUUGCCAUCGGAUGUGCCCAGAUGGGAUUAGCUAGUAGGUGGGGUAACGGCUCACCUAGGCGACGAUCCCUAGCUGGUCUGAGAGGAUGACCAGCCACACUGGAACUGAGACACGGUCCAGACUCCUACGGGAGGCAGCAGUGGGGAAUAUUGCACAAUGGGCGCAAGCCUGAUGCAGCCAUGCCGCGUGUAUGAAGAAGGCCUUCGGGUUGUAAAGUACUUUCAGCGGGGAGGAAGGGAGUAAAGUUAAUACCUUUGCUCAUUGACGUUACCCGCAGAAGAAGCACCGGCUAACUCCGUG
Molecule: ribosomal RNA, 490 nt
Filed under: uncultured bacterium
Lineage: Bacteria
Description: partial 16S ribosomal RNA
Rfam family: Bacterial small subunit ribosomal RNA
Source: RNAcentral